This 4568-nucleotide long non-coding RNA is filed under the name Marmota monax (woodchuck). The stretch from base 2038 to 2107 matches the Rfam family "tRNA". Lineage: Eukaryota; Metazoa; Chordata; Mammalia; Rodentia; Sciuridae. The record is from RNAcentral.
AUUUUGGGUGGUGCUAGGGGUCAAAUCCAGGUCCUUGAGCAUGUUGGUUAAGGGCUGUCCCACUGAGCUAUUAUCAAAAGUCCAAAUAUUUUCACUAAGCUAAGCUGCUUUAUUCCUAUUAUUUCUUAGCCUGUGCUGAUGUAGUUGAGACAUGAUUAUUUGUAGUGAAGUGUUAAAACUAAUUGGAGUAUUCAUAGAGAACUGGGUGAUGCAAACAGGUUAAGACAGUUGUCAUCUGAGACCUUUGCAUUUAGUACUGGCACAGCCAGUUACAGAUCUUUGUAUGUAGUGGUAAAUUACUUUCCUGAUGAUUUUUCUGCAAACCUCAUCAAUCCACUUAGAAUUGGAAGUUCUUUGUCUGUGGGACAAAAUAAACUUCCCAGCAGGUGAUGUUGUAACAAGACUGCUGUAAGUAGCAGCUUGGAGAGGAAGAAACAAAACUUACUGAACUGGUACAUAGGGAAAACUGCAGAUGAUGAUGGUGAUGUUGAUGAUGAUGAUGAUGAUGAUGAUGAUGAUGAUGGCCGAGCGUUAUAGCACAGGGUCUCUGUCCCCACAAUAGGUAAGGUAUUAAUGCUGAGCAGCUAAAGUUUUGUUGUAAAAUUGUCCUUGGAUCCCACUGGUGAUAAUGAGGCAAUAUGAAGACAAGUGCUGAGGCCUAUUGUGGACUCUCCACUAAUAGGUUACUGUCAGGCUCUUAGAUCUUAGGUUGUUAGGAUUCUUGGCAGCUGGUGACAGGUUGCAGGACUUGCAUGGCUAAAUCAGUUGUCCAUAAGCAAGGAGAGAGCACCUGGAUGUGUGAAAUCUUACAAGACUCCAGGCAAGUGAAGGUUGAAGACCAAAAUUGCACCAUCAGUGUAUAGAACCAGGAGAAGCAUAGAAAAUGUGGUGAGGACAGUGGGGAAAGGGUUUUAAAGGGGGAAGUAUUUGGGCUUGCAAACUGUCACUAUCACAAAGUCUGUUGGAGCACACAGUGAAGUGUGAUUAUUUGUGGAGCCUCCCCACAACUAUAUCUCCAAGGGGAGGGCCAAGAAGUUUCAGGGUCUGCCUUUCCACAUAAAAUAUAUUUCUGGAGACAUAAUAGCAAUAGUUAAGAACCCUAGUCUUUAAGCCAGUCAAUUCAAUACCAGUCCACAACUUUUUAUGUGAGCAGGACACAUCAAUUAACAUCUCUGCCUACUCCAGACUGCAUGUAGAGCUCUUAGCAUGCAGUACGCUGCCUAACUCAGCAAGUGCCCAGUAAGUGCUGUUAUUCUACAGUUGACCUGUGAACAGUGUCGGGAUUAGAGACACCCCAUGUGGUUGAAAAGUCCCAGUAUGACUUUUGACUCCCUAAAAGCUUUAUAAAUCCUUAACUGAUAACAUAAACAAUGAACACGUUUUGCAUAUUAUUAUAUUACUGCAGUAAAGGAAUUUACUGUAGAUAACAUUCAUUCAUUCAAGAAUGAAGCACUUCAGGGCAUUUUAAGUGGGGCAAUAAUUGAGCUCCCUGAAAGAGCAACAGGACAUGGCUCUGAAAUUAUUACAGUUGUACAGUAUUAACUAGUUAAUUUUAUGCAGUUAUUUAAUACUGCAUCUUUUGGACUUUGGUGUGUGUGAGUGUGCGCACGCCGCACGGGCUGGGCAUUUAAUCACUGAACCACAUCCCCAGCCUUUUUAUUUUUUAUCUAUUUUACACAAAUUCUUGUUAUAUUAUUUAAGGCCUUACUAACUUGCUGAGGAUUGCCUUGAAUCUGAUUUUCCUGCCUUGGCCUCAUGAGUUCCUGGAAUUACAGUGUGUGCCACCACACCUGACUAGUGCUACAUCUUUAUACCAUGUAUAGUUUCUAAGUUUUUUAAAAAUAAAUUUCAACUUUGUAAUAGACAACUGUAUUUCAUGUAAUGAUAAAGUAGACUAUAUAUAUUUUAUGUAUUCAUGACAUACCUGUCUUAAUUUUUUUCAAUAUUCAUAGGCUACACAGUUCAUUUGCAAGCUUUUACAAGUUCUCACAAAUCUUAAAAAAAAAGUUUUAUGUAUAAGUGGACCAUGGAAGGGCUGGGGAUGUAGCUCAGUUGGUAGAGUGCUUGCCUUGCAUGUACAAGGCCCUGGGUUCAAUCCCCAGCACCACAUAAAUUAAUAAACAAAUGGGCCUAUGUAGUUCAAACCUGUGUUGUUCAAGGGUCACAGGUAGGCAGGUAUCGAUGUACCCAUAUUAUAAGUGGGAAAUUAUGCCUUUUGCCAUGCCUUGACCCAGUUGCUGUCAUAAUGACUCCUGAACUCCCAUGUUGCUAUGUACAAGUGCAGCUGUUACAUUUCAAAGUGGGGCUUGCCAACACCGAAUUAUAAAAAUAUUUAGGUGCCAUUGAGAAUCAGCAUUUUCAACCUCAAAGAUUGUUUUUACUGUUUUGUCUACCAGCUCUUUCUCUGUUAACCAAAGCUACAUUUAUAGGGGCUGGGGUUAUGGCUCAGUGGUAGAAUGCUUGCCUAGCAUGCGUGCAGCACUGGGUUUGAUUUUCAGCACUGCAUAUAAAUAAAGUCCAUUGACAACCAAAAAAAGAGUAAAGCACCUAACAGUCUACAAAGUAUUAAAAAGAAAAAAAAAAUACAUUUAUAACAUAAGCAGCAUGGCUGCGGUGAGGAAACAAUUUAUAUCCUGUUAACAUCUCAUUUAAUCUGUCCAGCAUUCCUGUAACAGGCAGAUUACAUUACUAACCUUAGUUGACAGUUUAACUCAUGCAGUAUAUAUCUUAGGAGGAUGGCAGUUUCUCUUAGGCAUUGAAAAUAUUUAGGAUAUCAAAAUUUUCAUUUCUGAUUUGAGAACGAGUCACAUGAAAUCUUAGGUUAGGAAUGACUUAUCAAUAGCCUAACCUGGCCAGGUGCAGCUGGGCCUUUGUUCACUGAGCAGGGAGUAUACUAUGAUAGAUUUAUUUCACUCUCCCUGGUGGGCCAUCCACUGUCCUGAGCAAUCUGCUCCUCAGCCCUUUGUGUGGUGAGCCAAAGAGCUAAAUCUUUGCAUCCAAAAUUGCCUAGAGAAGACAGAGCUCCCUGGUCUUCUUGUUUGAGGAUAUUUUCCUUUUAAAAGGAGAGAAUAGGCACAAUACUAGGGCUGCUUUCCUGCUUGGGUGGUUUAAAGGAAAUAGAUUGCUGACUCUAUGGUUUUUCCCUCAACAUACCAGGAAAGGUGGUCAUCAUUGUUCACUGUUUUGGUGCAAUGGACACCCCCAUUUAUGUUGUAAGUCAUUUUACAAAUGAUUUACAGAACUAAGAGUGAUAGUAAAAAAUAAUUGCAAGGUUUAACAGGCAUUCAAAUACUAAAAACUAUUCAAAUCUUAACAAAUACAGCAUAUUUUUGAAUAUACUAGAAAUUACUGGACCUUUUAAAUGGAUGAAUUUUAUGGUAUGUGAAAUAUAUUUCCUUAAGGCUUUCACUCAUAAAUAUCUAUGUGAAGAUACAUGUGUGCGCAUGUAAAUUAAAACAGCAGAUAAUUUCAUGUAUUCCUUGUCUUUGGAGAUAAAAUGAGCACUGUCCCUUAAAUGCAAUGAAGUAGUUUGCCAUGCAUGAAACUGGAACAUAUUCAUCUUGUAACUACUGAUUUCAGAUUUCAAAUACAUCUCUAAUAGGCUCUGAUUUAUCAUUGCUUUCACUGUUUUGUGUUUGCACUUGUAUCCUCAGCAUAUAAUACUUUGAAAUUUUUGAUGGCUCGUAGUUUUAUUGAGAUGGCAACCAUUUUCUUUAUUCCCUAAUUAUAAAGCAUGUUUUAGACUUAAAAAGGCCAAUUGUAAUGAUCAAUCCAUAGUUUUAAAAAAUAUCUAACUAGGUACAAGGCACAUGCCAAUAAUCCCAAUAAGUUGGGAGCUUGAGGCAGGAGGAUUGUUAAGGUGGAGGGCCAGCCUCAGCAAUUAGCAAGACUGUGUCUCAAAAUAUAAAAAGGGUUGGGGUUGAAGUUCAAUGGUACAGCACCCCUGGGUUCCAUCCCCAGUAUUAAAAACAAAAUUCUCUAUCCCAUCUGUUUCCCUCUAGUCACUUUGGGCACAACUGCUUUCAGCCUUUCUCUACCUAUGAAUUGUACCUAGUAAAUUAUGAUGCAUAGUAACUGUAAAGAUGAAAAAAUAUUGUCACACCACUUUUUGGCAAAACAGGAUGGUCCAGGUUUUUGUUACAAAAAGAGCAAUACAAUCUUCCUAUUAUGAUUAAACUGGAUGAAAAUACCAUUUUUUGUGUAUUUAGAAAUAAUUCAUUCAUUACCAAAAUGAAUCUAAGAAAUAUUUUUGUUUAUGUGAAUAUUGCACCACCAUUCUGGAGUGCUGCUAUGUGUCUACAUUCGUUUUCUGAUUUAUAUGAUGUCCUCUCUCAAUUUUCUUCUCUUUUUUCAUUAUGACUAGAAAAAUAAGAAAUCCUGAAUUAUCAGUUGAUGUUUCUGAACUUCUAAAAGAUGAUACAACACUUUGGGAAACACAAUAAGGAAAUUGAAGGAUGAUAUGAUAGUGAUGAUUUCAUUUUUACUAUUGCAUCUUCCUUCUAGGUAAUACCGUCAUCCUUCCAUUAUUAUCUUAGUCUUGUCUAGCAUAGUUUGGAUUAAAUCGUAUG